GGAAGGAUCAUUCCUAAUAAACCGAAAGGUUUAAUUUCAACAGUUGAACUUGUAGCGUGUGUAAGGGUGUGGUGGUGUCGGAAUUCACGUUUCGGUUAUCAUCACCCGCCACAUGCGUACUCAACCAUUCGAUCGUGCAGUGUAAAAACUCGCGAACCCGAAUAACUUAACCAGGACUUCGAGAACAUGGCUUAUGAAACGACUCGUCGAGUCGACUUAAAUCAUACAGCUAUUAGCAACGGAUACCUCGGUUCUCAUAACGAUGAAGAACGCAGCGAAACGCGAUAUUUAGUGCGAAUUGCAGAAUUCAGUGAAUCAUCAAAAUUUUGAACGCAAGUUGCGCUCUUGGGAUAUUCCUGGGAGCAUGCCUCUUUCAGUGUCGGUCUUCAAUACAAACAUCUCUGAUGCUUGUGUCUUGCACUCCACACGAACGCUCGUCGUUCUGCGUUGUGUCGAAUUCCACGCACUGCUGGUGAGCCGACCCUUUUGCAAAGACGACUCGAGUUACAAGGACAGUUUACUGUUCAAACGUGCUUGAUCGACUACAAAAACGCGAAAUGUGUCCUCGCCAAGAAAGCAGAGUCAGUUCCGUCCAGCAGCUUUUUUCACAAAAGCUCGGCGACAACACCGAACAACAAUGACCUGAAAGAGGUAAGAUUACCCGCUUGACUUAAGCAUAUCAAUAAGCGGAGGAAAAGAAACUAAAUAGGAUUCCCCUAGUAACGGCGAGUGAAAAGGGAUUAGCCCAACCCGAUAAUCGUCCGGCUUCGCUGGAAGAAUUGUAGGUUAUGGAGGUGAGGACAGCGUCGGUCUUGGUCAAAGUGUGUUGGAAUGCACCGGCUGAGAGGGUGAGACCCCCGUGUUGGGCUAAAGACACGGCGCGUACGUUCCGCUUUCCGAGAGUAGGUUUGCUUGAGAGUGCAGACUGAAAUGGGUGGUAAAUUCCAUCCAAGGCUAAAUACCUAUGAGAGACCGAUAGCGCACAAGUACCGUGAGGGAAAGGUGAAAAGGACUUUGAAAAGAGAGUCAAAAGUACUUGAAAUUGCUAAUAGGUAAGCGAUAAGGAGUAGUGUAUGGUUGGGCCACACGUUGGUUUUCGCAGUUGAAGUGCCGGUUUGGGCGGGGCGUCAUUCGACGUGAGCUCAGGCCGACAGCAGGCUGUCUGGCUAAUUCGUGAGUUCAGCUUGUGUCAUGGCGGAUUCGUGCGGCACUAAUCGUCCGUGUCUGGGUAGCUUGGGGCAACUCAAGUGCAGGGACGCGGUCACGAAGUGACGCAUGGAUUGGUCUUGACAAAAUAUUCCUUAUUGACCCGUCUUGAAACACGGACCAAGGAGUCUAGCAUGUAGGCGAGUCUAUGGGUGUUAAACCCUACGGCGCAAUCAACGUAAAGGAGUGUCUGACAUUCUGAGGUGUGCAGCGCAAGCUUCAGCACCGCCCGGCAAUUCCCUAGUGUUUUGUUCGAGGUAGAGCCUAUCUGGUAGGACCCGAAAGAUGGUGAACUAUGCCUGAGCAGGGUGAAGCCAGGGGAAACUCUGGUGGAAGCUCGUAGCGAUACUGACGUGCAAAUCGUUCGUCUGACUUGGGUAUAGGGGCGAAAGACUAAUCGAACCAUCUAGUAGCUGGUUCCCUC
RNAcentral lists this unclassified non-coding RNA (1630 nucleotides) under uncultured fungus. RNAcentral's name for it is "sequence contains 18S rRNA gene, ITS1, 5.8S rRNA gene, ITS2, 28S rRNA gene". The stretch from base 639 to 1630 matches the Rfam family "Eukaryotic large subunit ribosomal RNA", at positions 1 to 961 of the family's 3401-position model. The record is from RNAcentral. Lineage: Eukaryota; Fungi.